CUCUGGUAUUGAUUGGUGCUUGCAUCAUGAUUUACAUUUGAGUGAGUGGCGAACUGGUGAGUAACACGUGGGAAACCUGCCCAGAAGCGGGGGAUAACACCUGGAAACAGAUGCUAAUACCGCAUAACAACUUGGACCGCAUGGUCCGAGUUUGAAAGAUGGCUUCGGCUAUCACUUUUGGAUGGUCCCGCGGCGUAUUAGCUAGAUGGUGGGGUAACGGCUCACCAUGGCAAUGAUACGUAGCCGACCUGAGAGGGUAAUCGGCCACAUUGGGACUGAGACACGGCCCAAACUCCUACGGGAGGCAGCAGUAGGGAAUCUUCCACAAUGGACGAAAGUCUGAUGGAGCAACGCCGCGUGAGUGAAGAAGGGUUUCGGCUCGUAAAACUCUGUUGUUAAAGAAGAACAUAUCUGAGAGUAACUGUUCAGGUAUUGACGGUAUUUAACCAGAAAGCCACGGCUAACUACGUGCCAGCAGCCGCGGUAAUACGUAGGUGGCAAGCGUUGUCCGGAUUUAUUGGGCGUAAAGCGAGCGCAGGCGGUUUUUUAAGUCUGAUGUGAAAGCCUUCGGCUCAACCGAAGAAGUGCAUCGGAAACUGGGAAACUUGAGUGCAGAAGAGGACAGUGGAACUCCAUGUGUAGCGGUGAAAUGCGUAGAUAUAUGGAAGAACACCAGUGGCGAAGGCGGCUGUCUGGUCUGUAACUGACGCUGAGGCUCGAAAGUAUGGGUAGCAAACAGGAUUAGAUACCCUGGUAGUCCAUACCGUAAACGAUGAAUGCUAAGUGUUGGAGGGUUUCCGCCCUUCAGUGCUGCAGCUAACGCAUUAAGCAUUCCGCCUGGGGAGUACGGCCGCAAGGCUGAAACUCAAAGGAAUUGACGGGGGCCCGCACAAGCGGUGGAGCAUGUGGUUUAAUUCGAAGCUACGCGAAGAACCUUACCAGGUCUUGACAUACUAUGCAAAUCUAAGAGAUUAGACGUUCCCUUCGGGGACAUGGAUACAGGUGGUGCAUGGUUGUCGUCAGCUCGUGUCGUGAGAUGUUGGGUUAAGUCCCGCAACGAGCGCAACCCUUAUUAUCAGUUGCCAGCAUUAAGUUGGGCACUCUGGUGAGACUGCCGGUGACAAACCGGAGGAAGGUGGGGAUGACGUCAAAUCAUCAUGCCCCUUAUGACCUGGGCUACACACGUGCUACAAUGGAUGGUACAACGAGUUGCGAACUCGCGAGAGUAAGCUAAUCUCUUAAAGCCAUUCUCAGUUCGGAUUGUAGGCUGCAACUCGCCUACAUGAAGUCGGAAUCGCUAGUAAUCGCGGAUCAGCAUGCCGCGGUGAAUACGUUCCCGGGCCUUGUACACACCGCCCGUCACACCAUGAGAGUUUGUAACACCCAAAGUCGGUU
Molecule: ribosomal RNA, 1395 nt
Filed under: Lactiplantibacillus plantarum
Lineage: Bacteria; Bacillati; Bacillota; Bacilli; Lactobacillales; Lactobacillaceae
Description: bacterial SSU rRNA
Rfam family: Bacterial small subunit ribosomal RNA
Source: RNAcentral